GAUGAACGCUGGCGGCGUGCCUAAUACAUGCAAGUCGAGCGAACAGACGAGGAGCUUGCUCCUCUGACGUUAGCGGCGGACGGGUGAGUAACACGUGGAUAACCUACCUAUAAGACUGGGAUAACUUCGGGAAACCGGAGCUAAUACCUGAUAACAUGUUGAACCGCAUGGUUCAACAGUGAAAGACGGUCUUGCUGUCACUUAUAGAUGGAUCCGCGCCGCAUUAGCUAGUUGGUAAGGUAACGGCUUACCAAGGCAACGAUGCGUAGCCGACCUGAGAGGGUGAUCGGCCACACUGGAACUGAGACACGGUCCAGACUCCUACGGGAGGCAGCAGUAGGGAAUCUUCCGCAAUGGGCGAAAGCCUGACGGAGCAACGCCGCGUGAGUGAAGAAGGUCUUCGGAUCGUAAAACUCUGUUAUUAGGGAAGAACAAAUGUGUAAGUAACUAUGCACGUCUUGACGGUACCUAAUCAGAAAGCCACGGCUAACUACGUG
This 497-nucleotide ribosomal RNA is filed under the name uncultured bacterium. RNAcentral describes it as "partial 16S ribosomal RNA". It matches the Rfam family "Bacterial small subunit ribosomal RNA", at positions 28 to 507 of the family's 1533-position model. The record is from RNAcentral.